CAGUCAUGCUAGUGAAAAUUCAGUUUGGUGGGUUUUAGGUUCAAGAGUUGAGGCAGGGUCAAACCGGUUCUCUUUUGAACUUGGAAUUUGUCAGAUGCACUUUUUCUUUGGCAGGUCAACGUCGAUUUCGGA
Molecule: ribosomal RNA, 132 nt
Filed under: Diversispora celata
Lineage: Eukaryota; Fungi; Glomeromycota; Glomeromycetes; Diversisporales; Diversisporaceae
Source: RNAcentral